Pelobates cultripes (western spadefoot toad) is the source of this 396-nucleotide non-coding RNA. NCBI's taxonomy places the organism in Eukaryota, Metazoa, Chordata, Amphibia, Anura, Pelobatidae. The record is from the annotation of a GenBank genome assembly.
AGGAUUAGUAAGUAAUGUUUCAACAUCUACAUUUAGCUCACACAGAGACAUGGCACUUUCCAAGAUCUCCACCACUUGGGUCAAACUAGAAUGGACCUUUUCACCUCACACAAAAUGUUUCCAGGAUACUGUGGGUUUCUUUUGGAAUCUCCAUCAGGCCUGAAUAACUCUUAAUUACAGUGUUACAGAACAAUGCUGUCAGAUUUACAUACGUACAUUCUUAUAAACAUACAUUACAAAUCUUAUAGAGCUAUUUAUUUACAACCAUCCAUAUUAUACUGAUCACCCUAUGAAUGUUAUGAGACCAUCUAUGAUAGUGACAUCAUAAAUAAAACAAAACAUUAGGUGGGGGAUGCAUGUCUCCUACCAGGAAUAUUUCUUCAAAGAAGUGGUGGG